UCUGUAAAGUGGGGAGAAUAAUCUUGACUGUCUUAAGAGCUGUUGCCAGUUGGGUAGUGAACUAAGCAUGAGAUUGGGGGUAUAAGGUUCAGCAAUAUUAACUGUUCAAGGAAAUUCUCACCAAGUGGUGCAGUGGGACUCUAGGUGGCCUGUCCGUGUCCACUGAAGGUGGUAGAUGCACACUUGGGAACAGUGGGCAACAGCAGGGAGCAAGGAACUGGAUUUUAUGGCAAAGCCCCGCUUCAAACUUGUUGUCAAGCCGGUAAAAAGGAAGCAAUACUGCUGGGGAAGGGGCGGCAGGCGCCAUGUCCGGCCACGAAGGAAGAUAAGGCUUUCAAGCAGAAACAAAAAGAGGAGCAGAAGAAACUCGAGGAGCUAAAAUGGAAGGCCACGGGGAAGGGGCCCUUGGCCACAAGUGGAAUUAAGAAAUCUGGCAAAAAGUAAGCUGUUCCCUGUGCCUAAGGAGAUGGUGACCCUUUAUUUCAUCAGUAUUUAAACCUCUCUAUUCCCUGCCAUAACAUCUUUUGCCACCUAUGGCUGGAAUUAAGUGUUGUCUUGGAGCUGUUGUACAUUUAAGAAUAAACUUUUGUUAAAAAAAAAAAAGAAGCAAUACAACGAAAUGUACAGUACAAUGCCAUCUGUGUAUCAAAUGCAGGAGACAGGGGAUGAGAUGCGGGGAGGAGACCCAAGGCAGGAGAAGCGCCUAGCCCUGAUGGUUACCAGCAGAGGACUGAGGAGCGUUAUCAGCACCACUGAAUGCUCCAGAAGUUCAAACAACAACAACAACAAAAACGCAACACGCGAUCAGAGGCGUUUUCUGCCAGUGACCCGCGAACUUUGCCCCCCACCCCUCGUCCCCGCUCCAUACUAUCCUUGAUCUUGGCCAAAAGGCGGAGAAACAGCGAACUUUUCCCUGGAGCCAGAAGGACGCAAAGGUUCGCUAGCGGCCCAGGGCGGGCGCGCGGCUGGAGAGGCACCCUCCUCACUCUGCCCGCUGCCGCACUGGGCACUGGGACUGGCUCCGCUGCCUCCGCCCCCGAACCGGGCCAGGACCCUUGGCGGGGGAGGGGAACGCGCACUUAAACGCUCCUGGCCUGGGGGCCGCGGGGCCCAGU
Molecule: long non-coding RNA, 1115 nt
Filed under: Homo sapiens (human)
Lineage: Eukaryota; Metazoa; Chordata; Mammalia; Primates; Hominidae
Description: non-protein coding lnc-SCP2-2:1
Source: RNAcentral